Molecule: ribosomal RNA, 2127 nt
Filed under: human metagenome
Description: bacterial LSU rRNA
Rfam family: Bacterial large subunit ribosomal RNA
Source: RNAcentral
CCGAACUCACCGCCGUUGAAAAGUUGGGAGAUGAGAUAGGUCUAGGGGUGAAAAGCCAAUCGAACUAGGAGAUAGCUCGUUCUCUCCGAAAUGCAUUUAGGUGCAGCCUUGAACUGAGAUAUGUGGGGGUAGAGCUCUGUAUGAUCUAGGGGGCGUACUGCUUACCGAAAUCAAGCAAACUGCGAAUACCAUAUAUCAUGUUCAGGAGUGAGUCCGUGGAUGACAAGGUCCUCGGACGAGAGGGGAACAGCCCAGACCGCCAGCUAAGGUCCCUAAUUAUGUCUAAGUGGGAAAGGAGGUGGACAUUCAUAGACAACCAGGAGGUUGGCUUAGAAGCAGCCAUGCCUUGAAAGAGUGCGUAAUAGCUCACUGGUCGAGAGUGCCCGCGCCGAAGAUGUAACGGGGCUAAGACAUAAACCGAAGCUGCGGAAGAUACACUGUAUCUUGGUAGGAGAGCGUUCUGUAGGCCGUCGAAGGGAUGCCGCAAGGCCGUCCUGGAGGUAUCAGAAGCGAGAAUGCAGGAAUGAGUAGCGAGAAGGCGGGCGAGAAUCCCGCCGGCCGGAAGUCCAAGGUUUCCAGGGGAAGGCUUGUCCGCCCUGGGGAAGUCGGGACCUAAGCAUAAGCAAAAUUGUGAUGGCGAAUGGAAAACAGGUUAAUAUUCCUGUACCGCUGUUAUCGCUUGAGAGACGGAGUGACGCAGGAAGGUAUGCGAGAAGGCUGACGGUUUAGCCUUUCUAAGGGCCCAGCGUGGGCGUGCAGGUAAAUCCGCACGCCUAAACGUGAGACCUGACGGGGAAGUGCAUUUGCAUAAGUCGCAGAUCCUACACUGCCAAGAAAAACUUCUAUCGAUGAGAAGCAGCGCCCGUACUGUAAACCGACACAGGUGGACAGAGUGAGAAACUUAAGGCCGACAGGAUAACUCUAGCUAAGGAACUCUGCAAAAUAGCCCCGUAACUUCGGGAGAAGGGGUGCCUGACAUACCUGAAGGAGAGAAGCGCUCCCAGGGGAAACAGGCCGCAGUGAAGAGUCUCAAGCAACUGUUUACCAAAAACACAGGUCUAUGCUAAGCUGAAAGGCGACGUAUAUGGGCUGACACCUGCCCAGUGCCGGAAGGUUAAGAGGAGGAGUGAGAGCUCCGAUUUGAAGCCCCGGUGAACGGCGGCCGUAACUAUAACGGUCCUAAGGUAGCGAAAUUCCUUGUCGGGUAAGUUCCGACCUGCACGAAUGGUGAAAUGAUUUGAGAGCUGUCUUGGCUGGAGACCUGGUGAAGUUGUAAUGCCGGUGAAGAUACCGGCUACCUGCAGUAGGACGGAAAGACCCCGUGGAGCUUUACUGUAGCUUGGCAUUGGGUUCUGGCAAUGUGUGUAUAGGAUAGUUGGGAGACUGUGAUGUGAUGGCGUCAGCCAUUGCUGAGUCGCUGUUGGAAUACCAACCAUAUGCUGUCGGAAUUCUAAUCUGGCAACGGAGACAGUGCUAGGUGGGCAGUUUGACUGGGGCGGUCGCCUCCCAAAGAGUAACGGAGGCGUUCAAAGGUUCCCUCAGGCUGGAUGGAAAUCAGCCUAAGAGUGCAAACGCAUAAGGGAGCUUGACUGCAAGACUGACGGGUCGAGCAGGUACGAAAGUAGGAGUUAGUGAUCCGGCGGUUCCGUAUGGAAGGACCGUCGCUCAACGGAUAAAAGCUACCCCGGGGAUAACAGGCUGAUACUUCCCAAGAGUCCAUAUCGACGGAAGUGUUUGGCACCUCGAUGUCGGCUCGUCUCAUCCUGGGGCUGGAGAAGGUCCCAAGGGUUGGGCUGUUCGCCCAUUAAAGAGGCACGCGAGCUGGGUUCAGAACGUCGUGAGACAGUUCGGUCCCUAUCCACUGCAGGCGCUUGAAUAUUGAAAAGAUCUGACCUUAGUACGAGAGGACCGGGUUGGACAGACCUCUGAUGUAUCAGUUGUCACGCCAGUGGCAUGGCUGAGUAGUCACGUCUGGUACGGAUAACCGCUGAAAGCAUCUAAGCGGGAAGCCGGCUUUGAGAUGAAUAUUCGUAGUAUCCAUAGAGAACAUAUGGUCGAUAGGCUAGGGGUGCAAGUGCAGCAAUGCAUUUAGCUGACUAGUACUAAUAUUACGUCUGCUUUUAAGAU